AUGCAGCUGACGAGUCCUAAAUCGGACGAAAUGCUUGUCCUAGAU
This 45-nucleotide non-coding RNA is filed under the name Schistosoma curassoni. Lineage: Eukaryota; Metazoa; Platyhelminthes; Trematoda; Strigeidida; Schistosomatidae. The record is from RNAcentral.